RNAcentral lists this long non-coding RNA (492 nucleotides) under Olea europaea subsp. europaea. Lineage: Eukaryota; Viridiplantae; Streptophyta; Magnoliopsida; Lamiales; Oleaceae. The record is from RNAcentral.
ACUACCGCAGUUGUGACUGAGUCAGAAUCUGCAUCGGCAGUUCCUACCUCUACUCGUAUCACAGUUGAUCCAGAGGUACCUCCGUAUAUUCAUUCAGUUGCUGAGCCUACUCCAAAUGCUCCUAUCGAGGUACCCACUUCUCCUAUUAUUACUUCCAUAGCUCCUAUUCCCACAGCUACUACUGAUUUGCCCCCUGAGCCGACACAUAUGAGUUCUCCACCAUUAAAGACACGCACAGAUAGUACUCAAUCAGCGCAGGGAUCAGGUACCGGGACAGUCCCUCAAACCACUCUUGCACAGGGGUUGUUGGCUGAGAUCAGCUCAGAGCGACAUGGUGUCAAGCAUAUGCUGAUUGAUCACUUUAAGAAGGACCAUGGAAUGAAAGUUGGAUCUACCAUGAUAUUUGCUAUUGAGGACUUGGUUUUUAAGCUCUUUGGAGAGGGACCUUCUGUGAGUAAGACUCCUACGCAGACACCUUCACCUAGUCCUUCU